Callithrix jacchus (white-tufted-ear marmoset) is the source of this 616-nucleotide non-coding RNA. NCBI's taxonomy places the organism in Eukaryota, Metazoa, Chordata, Mammalia, Primates, Cebidae. The record is from RefSeq and is a predicted model, not a curated record.
AGCAGGAGACAUGCAAAUAGAGCCCUCCCUCUGCUGAUGAAAACGAGCCCAGCCCUGACCUGCAGCUCUGGGAGAGGAGCCCAGCCCUGGGAUUGUCAGGUGUUUGCAUUUGGUGAUCAGCGCAGAACACAGAGACUGAACUCACCAUGGAGUUUGUGCUGAGCUGGGUUUUCCUUGUUGCUAUUUUAAAAGGUGUCCAGUGUGAGGUGCAGCUGGUGGAGUCUGGGGGAGGCUUGGUUCAGCUUGGGGGGGUCCCUGAGACUCUCCUUCGCGGCCUCUGGAUUCACCUUCAGUAGCUAUGGCAUGCACUGGGUCUGCCAGGCUCCAGGGAAGGGGCUGGAGUGGGUCUCAGCCAUUAGUAACAUAUACUACGCAGACUCCGUGAAGGGCCGAUUCACCAUCUCCGGAGACAACGCCAAGAACUCGCUGUAUCUGCAGAUGAACAGCCUGACAGCCGAGGACACGGCCAUGUAUUACUGUGCGAGAGAUAUAGUUAACAAUAAUAUGGAGUUUCAAAGAGGUAGAAGAAGUAUGUUAGUAUUCUCAAUAAAAAGAAAAGGAUUGCGAUGAUGGAUAUGCUAAUUAUCCUAAUAUGGCCCCUAUAUAUUAUAUGUAU